This 906-nucleotide long non-coding RNA is filed under the name Numida meleagris (helmeted guineafowl). RNAcentral describes it as "lncRNA (ENSNMEG00000013358.1)". Lineage: Eukaryota; Metazoa; Chordata; Aves; Galliformes; Numididae. The record is from RNAcentral.
AUGUACAGGUCUGAUAUAACAGAAUUAGGGAAGACUGGAUAUGAAGUGACUGAACAUGAAACUGCUUUCGGAACAUCUUCAGAGUUGCUCUGUGUGAACAGAACUGUAGCAUCAAAAUUAAUCAGUUCAACACAUUGAACUGUGCACACUAUCGUGACGGCUUGUGUUUCAUGGCUAGUGAAUAUCCCUCCAGAAGAUAGAGAAUAGCCUCUUAUUUUCUCUAGACACAUUUCAAACUGAUGUUUGGGAAUUUCCAAGCCUACAGUUUCCAAGAUCCCCUCAUUUUCCAGGAUAUUUUAAGCAGCAAGGUAUUCUAGGUUUUUUUUUUUUUAUGUAGAAAAAUAUGCUUGAUGCUCUUUGAAAGCUGUUCCCAGGUUUCAGCGUGCAUACUGACAUCUACCACAAGCAAUGUUGCAAGAGUCAUUAUGUGUAAUGCUUAAUGACUUUGAAAGGGAGACAAUGGAAGAAGUGCAACUUUCCAGAAGUAUGCCUGCAUUCAUCGUUCAUGUAAGCCCUUAAAUAGCUGCAUAACACAGAUUCUUUUUGCUGAAAAGUCACCACCUGCUUCAUGCAGACUCUGCCAUCCAGCCUUCUGGCUGUCUCUGCCUGAGGCCAGCGCUAGCAUGGCACAGCUUAGAUCUUCUUGAUGGGAUACCAUGGGACAGCAUCCAUGUGCUUGGGAGCACUGCCUUGCUGCUUGUGCUGCCACCCCAGGCUCCCAGCUCCGUGAACACUGUGGUCCAUCCUGCCUUAGCUUCUUCCUGACUUAAAUCCUACUACAAUAUACGAAGGCCUUAAAUAUGCAUCAUCUUAUGAUGCUUUAAAAUACCACUGAACUACAAAUACAGAACUCAGUGUGUGAUUAGGAAAAAUAAAGGGCAUUAACCAAACGUGGAUGUGAAUGUC